UGGGGAAUUUUGGACAAUGGGCGAAAGCCUGAUCCAGCAAUGCCGCGUGUGUGAAGAAGGCCUUCGGGUUGUAAAGCACUUUUGUCCGGAAAGAAAUCCUUGGCUCUAAUACAGUCGGGGGAUGACGGUACCGGAAGAAUAAGCACCGGCUAACUACGUGCCAGCAGCCGCGGUAAUACGUAGGGUGCAAGCGUUAAUCGGAAUUACUGGGCGUAAAGCGUGCGCAGGCGGUUUGCUAAGACCGAUGUGAAAUCCCCGGGCUCAACCUGGGAACUGCAUUGGUGACUGGCAGGCUAGAGUAUGGCAGAGGGGGGUAGAAUUCCACGUGUAGCAGUGAAAUGCGUAGAGAUGUGGAGGAAUACCGAUGGCGAAGGCGGCCCCCUGGGCCAAUACUGACGCUCAUGCACGAAAGCGUGGGGAGCAAACAGGAUUAGAUACCCUGGUAGUCCACGCCCAUAAACGAUGUCAACUAGUUGUUGGGGAUUCAUUUCCUUAGUAACGUAGCUAACGCGUGAAGUUGACCGCCU
Molecule: ribosomal RNA, 527 nt
Filed under: uncultured bacterium
Lineage: Bacteria
Description: partial 16S ribosomal RNA
Rfam family: Bacterial small subunit ribosomal RNA
Source: RNAcentral